UUUUUAUCGAGAGAGACGGAGGGACUGGCCCUGAGAAGUCUCGGCAGCGGGGAACCUGUGCCAAAUCCAGCGGGCGUAUUGCUCGAAAGAUGAAAA
This is a non-coding RNA of Exiguobacterium sp. AT1b, 96 nucleotides long. The record is from Rfam. Lineage: Bacteria; Bacillati; Bacillota; Bacilli; Caryophanales.